GACGUAGGGCGCGAGCGUUGUCCGGAUUUAUUGGGCGUAAAGAGCUCGUAGGUGGUUUGUCGCGUUGUUCGUGAAAACUCACAGCUCAACUGUGGGCGUGCGGGCGAUACGGGCAGACUGGAGUACUGCAGGGGAGACUGGAAUUCCUGGUGUAGCGGUGAAAUGCGCAGAUAUCAGGAGGAACACCGGUGGCGAAGGCGGGUCUCUGGGCCGAUACUGACGCUGAGGAGCGAAAGCGUGGGGAGCGAACAGG
Molecule: ribosomal RNA, 253 nt
Filed under: uncultured bacterium
Lineage: Bacteria
Description: partial 16S ribosomal RNA
Rfam family: Bacterial small subunit ribosomal RNA
Source: RNAcentral